RNAcentral lists this ribosomal RNA (2899 nucleotides) under Streptococcus pneumoniae GA04175. RNAcentral describes it as "bacterial LSU rRNA". It matches the Rfam family "Bacterial large subunit ribosomal RNA". Lineage: Bacteria; Bacillati; Bacillota; Bacilli; Lactobacillales; Streptococcaceae. The record is from RNAcentral.
UAAGUUAAUAAGGGCGCACGGUGGAUGCCUUGGCACUAGGAGCCGACGAAGGACGUGACAAACGACGAUAUGCCUUGGGUAGCUGUAAGUAAGCGAUGAUCCAGGGAUUUCCGAAUGGGGGAACCCAACAGGUAAUACCUGUUACCUACAUCUGUUAAGGAUGUGAGGAGGAAGACGCAGUGAACUGAAACAUCUAAGUAGCUGCAGGAAGAGAAAGCAAAAGCGAUUGCCUUAGUAGCGGCGAGCGAAACGGCAGAAGGGCAAACCGAAGAGUUUACUCUUCGGGGUUGUAGGACUGCAAUGUGGACUCAAAGAUUAUAGAAGAAUGAUUUGGGAAGAUCAGCCAAAGAGAGUAAUAGCCUCGUAUUUAAAAUAGUCUUUGUACUUAGCAGUAUCCUGAGUACGGCGGGACACGUGAAAUCCCGUCGGAAUCUGGGAGGACCAUCUCCCAACCCUAAAUACUCCCUAGUGACCGAUAGUGAACCAGUACCGUGAGGGAAAGGUGAAAAGCACCCCGGGAGGGGAGUGAAAUAGAACCUGAAACCGUGUGCCUACAACAAGUUCGAGCCCGUUAAUGGGUGAGAGCGUGCCUUUUGUAGAAUGAACCGGCGAGUUACGUUAUGAUGCGAGGUUAAGUUGAAGAGACGGAGCCGUAGGGAAACCGAGUCUGAAUAGGGCGCCUUAGUAUCAUGACGUAGACCCGAAACCAUUGUGACCUACCCAUGAGCAGGUUGAAGGUGCGGUAAGACGCACUGGAGGACCGAACCAGGGCACGUUGAAAAGUGCUUGGAUGACUUGUGGGUAGCGGAGAAAUUCCAAACGAACUUGGAGAUAGCUGGUUCUCUCCAAAAUAGCUUUAGGGCUAGCGUCGACAUUAGAGAUUCUUGGAGGUAGAGCACUGUUUGGGUGAGGGGUCCAUCCCGGAUUACCAAUCUCAGAUAAACUCCGAAUGCCAAUGAAUUAUGGUCGGCAGUCAGACUGCGAGUGCUAAGAUCCGUAGUCGAAAGGGAAACAGCCCAGACCACCAGCUAAGGUCCCAAAAUAAUUGUUAAGUGGAAAAGGAUGUAGGGUUGCACAGACAACUAGGAUGUCAGCUUAGAAGCAGCUAUUCAUUCAAAGAGUGCGUAAUAGCUCACUAGUCGAGUGACCCUGCGCCGAAAAUGUACCGGGGCUAAAACAAUUUACCGAAGCUGUGGAUACCUUUAUAGGUAUGGUAGGAGUAGCGUUCUAAUGUGUGAUGAAGGUAUACCGUGAGGAGUGCUGGAACGCAUAGAAGUGAGAAUGCCGGUAUGAGUAGCGAAAGACAGGUGAGAAUCCUGUCCACCGUAAGACUAAGGUUUCCAGGGGAAGGCUCGUCCGCCCUGGGUUAGUCGGGACCUAAGGAGAGACCGAAAGGUGUAUCCGAUGGACAACAGGUUGAUAUUCCUGUACUAGAGUAUGUAGUGAUGGAGGGACGCAGUAGGCUAACUAAAGCAGACGAUUGGAAGAGUCUGUCUAAGCAGUGAGGUGUGAAUUGAGUCAAAUGCUUAAUUCUAUAACAUUGAGCUGUGAUGGGGAGCGAAGUUUAGUAGCGAAGUUAGUGACGUCACACUGCCAAGAAAAGCUUCUAGCGUUUAAACAUACUCUACCCGUACCGCAAACCGACACAGGUAGUCGAGGCGAGUAGCCUCAGGUGAGCGAGAGAACUCUCGUUAAGGAACUCGGCAAAAUGACCCCGUAACUUCGGGAGAAGGGGUGCUGACUUAAAGUCAGCCGCAGUGAAUAGGCCAAGCAACUGUUUAUCAAAAACACAGCUACUCUGCUAAAUCGUAAGAUGAUGUAUAGGGGGUGACGCCUGCCCGGUGCUGGAAGGUUAAGAGGAGUGCUUAGCGUAAGCGAAGGUAUGAAUUGAAGCCCAGUAAACGGCGGCCGUAACUAUAACGGUCCUAAGGUAGCGAAAUUCCUUGUCGGGUAAGUUCCGACCCGCACGAAAGGCGUAAUGAUUUGGGCACUGUCUCAACGAGAGACUCGGUGAAAUUUUAGUACCUGUGAAGAUGCAGGUUACCCGCGACAGGACGGAAAGACCCCAUGGAGCUUUACUGCAGUUUGAUAUUGAGUGUCUGUACCACAUGUACAGGAUAGGUAGGAGUCUAAGAGAUCGGGACGCCAGUUUCGAAGGAGACGCUGUUGGGAUACUACCCUUGUGUUAUGGCCACUCUAACCCAGAUAGGUGAUCCCUAUCGGAGACAGUGUCUGACGGGCAGUUUGACUGGGGCGGUCGCCUCCUAAAAGGUACGGAGGCGCCCAAAGGUUCCCUCAGAAUGGUUGGAAAUCAUUCGCAGAGUGUAAAGGUAUAAGGGAGCUUGACUGCGAGAGCUACAACUCGAGCAGGGACGAAAGUCGGGCUUAGUGAUCCGGUGGUUCCGUAUGGAAGGGCCAUCGCUCAACGGAUAAAAGCUACCCUGGGGAUAACAGGCUUAUCUCCCCCAAGAGUUCACAUCGACGGGGAGGUUUGGCACCUCGAUGUCGGCUCGUCGCAUCCUGGGGCUGUAGUCGGUCCCAAGGGUUGGGCUGUUCGCCCAUUAAAGCGGCACGCGAGCUGGGUUCAGAACGUCGUGAGACAGUUCGGUCCCUAUCCGUCGCGGGCGUAGGAAAUUUGAGAGGAUCUGCUCCUAGUACGAGAGGACCAGAGUGGACUUACCGCUGGUGUACCAGUUGUCUUGCCAAAGGCAUCGCUGGGUAGCUAUGUAGGGAAGGGAUAAACGCUGAAAGCAUCUAAGUGUGAAACCCACCUCAAGAUGAGAUUUCCCAUGAUUAUAUAUCAGUAAGAGCCCUGAGAGAUGAUCAGGUAGAUAGGUUAGAAGUGGAAGUGUGGCGACACAUGUAGCGGACUAAUACUAAUAGCUCGAGGACUUAUCCA